RNAcentral lists this ribosomal RNA (406 nucleotides) under uncultured bacterium. RNAcentral's name for it is "partial 16S ribosomal RNA". It matches the Rfam family "Bacterial small subunit ribosomal RNA", at positions 29 to 526 of the family's 1533-position model. The record is from RNAcentral.
AUUGAACGCUGGCGGCAGGCCUAACACAUGCAAGUCGAGCGCGCGGCGGACGGGUGAGUAAUGUCUGGGAAACUGCCUGAUGGAGGGGGAUAACUACUGGAAACGGUAGCUAAUACCGCAUACCAUCAGAUGUGCCCAGGUGGGAUUAGCGAGUAGUGGGGGUAACGGCUCACCUAGGCGACGAUCCCUAGCGGGUCUGAGAGGAUGACCAGCCAAACGGGAAUGGAGACACGGUCCAGACUCCUACGGGAGGCAGCAGUGGGGAAUAUUGCACAAUGGGCGCAAGCCUGAUGCAGCCAUGCCGCGUGUGUGAAGAAGGCCUUCGGGUUGUAAAGUACUUUCAGCGGGGAGGCGUUACCCGCAGAAGAAGCACCGGCUAACUCCGUGCCAGCAGCCGCGGUAAUUC